RNAcentral lists this ribosomal RNA (253 nucleotides) under uncultured bacterium. RNAcentral's name for it is "partial 16S ribosomal RNA". It matches the Rfam family "Bacterial small subunit ribosomal RNA", at positions 524 to 776 of the family's 1533-position model. The record is from RNAcentral.
UACGUAGGUGGCAAGCGUUGUCCGGAAUUAUUGGGCGUAAAGCGCGCGCAGGUGGUUUCUUAAGUCUGAUGUGAAAGCCCACGGCUCAACCGUGGAGGGUCAUUGGAAACUGGGGAACUUGAGUGCAGAAGAGGAUAGUGGAAUUCCAAGUGUAGCGGUGAAAUGCGUAGAGAUUUGGAGGAACACCAGUGGCGAAGGCGACUAUCUGGUCUGUAACUGACACUGAGGCGCGAAAGCGUGGGGAGCAAACAGG